CUGCGAGAAGGAUCAUUAUAUGAAUAAACCUGAUGUGGCUGUUAGCUGGCUUUUCGAAGCAUGUGCUCGUCCGUCAUCUUUAUCUCUCCACCUGUGCACAUUUUGUAGUCUUGGAUACCUCUCGAGGCAACUCGGAUUUUAGGAUCGCCAUGGCUUUCCUUUCAUUUCCAAGACUAUGUUUUUAUAUACACCAAAGUAUGUUUAAAGAAUGUUAUCAAUAGGAACUUGUUUCUUAUAAAAUUAUACAACUUUCAGCAACGGAUCUCUUGGCUCUCGCAUCGAUGAAGAACGCAGCGAAAUGCGAUAAGUAAUGUGAAUWGCAGAAUUCAGUGAAUCAUCGAAUCUUUGAACGCACCUUGCGCUCCUUGGUAUUCCGAGGAGCAUGCCUGUUUGAGUGUCAUUAAAUUCUCAACCUUCCAGCUUUUUUUUAUUAGCUUGGUUUGGCUUGGAUGUGGGUGUUGCAGGCUUCAUUAAUGAGGUCAGCUCUCCUUAAAUGCAUUAGCGGAACUUUUGUGGACCGUCUAUUGGUGUGAUAAUUAUCUACGCCGUGGAUGUGAAGCAGCUAUAUAUGAAGUUCAGCUUCUAACCGUCCAUUGACUUGGACAAUUUUUUGACAAUUUGACCUCAAAUCAGGUAGGACUACCCGCUGAACUUAAGCAUAUCAAUAAGCGGAGGAA
This 677-nucleotide small RNA is filed under the name uncultured fungus. RNAcentral's name for it is "eukaryotic LSU rRNA". The stretch from base 247 to 400 matches the Rfam family "5.8S ribosomal RNA". The record is from RNAcentral. Lineage: Eukaryota; Fungi.